UUGAGAUAAUUGAUCGAUAUUUGCGUGCUUUAGAGUCGGGUUGUUUGGGAUCGCAGCCCAAAGUCGGUGGUAAACUUCAUCUAAGACUUAAUAUUGCCACGAGACCGAUAGCAAACAAGUACUGUGAAGGAAAGUUGCAAAGCACUUUGAAGAGAGAGUUAAAGAGGACGUGAAACCGGUAAGGUGGAAACGGAUAGAGUCGGCGUAUCAUUCAAUUAUUCAGUUACAUUAUUUUUAUGUUGUGACCUCUGAGCUCCAGAUUGGGACAGAGGGAAUCAGCAUAAUUUUUUGUGGUGCAUUUACUUGAUUGGUGCUUGGGGAUGUUUGAGGCAGAUUUGUUUCCGUCGUUUUGAGGCCAGCUUGCUGGUACCCAAACGGUGUUAGCAUUUUUUGUCUUGGGCAUUUGAGUAUGGCUCACGUGUAUUUAUUGGACAGAUCUGAGUGUAAGUUACGGUCGCAUGCGACACGUGCUUUUCAAUUAGUUCGGUCCAGUUAAUGCUCUCGUACUCGUUCCCCAUGUAAAAGCCGGUCAUCUAUCCGACCCGUCUUGAAACACGGACCAAGGAGUUUAUCGUGUGCGCAAGUUUUUGGGUGUUAAAAACUUAAAAGCGAAAUGAAAGUAAAUGACUCUUUAGAGUCUGAUGUGCGAUCUUGUAAAAAAGUGUAGCAUGGCCCCAUUCUAACUGUUUACAGUAGGGUGGCGGAAGAGCGUACGCGGUGAGACCCGAAAGAUGGUGAACUAUUCCUGAGCAGGACGAAGCCAGAGGAAACUCUGGUGGAAGUCCGAAGCGG
Molecule: ribosomal RNA, 792 nt
Filed under: Meloidogyne javanica (root-knot nematode)
Lineage: Eukaryota; Metazoa; Nematoda; Chromadorea; Rhabditida; Meloidogynidae
Description: eukaryotic LSU rRNA
Rfam family: Eukaryotic large subunit ribosomal RNA
Source: RNAcentral